This 750-nucleotide ribosomal RNA is filed under the name uncultured Candidatus Liberibacter sp. Its description in RNAcentral is "bacterial SSU rRNA". It matches the Rfam family "Bacterial small subunit ribosomal RNA", at positions 770 to 1505 of the family's 1533-position model. Lineage: Bacteria; Pseudomonadati; Pseudomonadota; Alphaproteobacteria; Hyphomicrobiales; Rhizobiaceae. The record is from RNAcentral.
UAACAGGAUUAGAUAGCAUGGUAGUCCACGCCGUAAACGAUGAGUGGUAGGUGUUGGGUGGUUUAGCAUUCAGUGGCGCAGGUAACGCAUUAAGCAUUCAGCAUGGGGAGUACGGUCGCAAGAUUAAGAAUCAGAGGAAUUGAAGGGGGCCCGCACAAGCGGUGGAGCAUGUGGUGUAAUUCGAUGCAACGCGCAGAACAUUACCAGCCCUUGACAUGUAUAGGACGAUAUCAGAGAUGGUAUUUUCUUUUUGGAGACCUUUACACAGGUGCUGCAUGGAUGUCGUCAGUUCGUGUCUUGAGAUGUUGGGUUAAGUACCGCAACGAGCGCAACCCCUGCCUCUAGUUGCCAUCAAGUUUAGGUUUUUACCUAGAUGUUGGGUACUUUAUAGGGACUGCCGCUGAUAAGCAGGAGGAAGGUGGGGAUGACGUCAAGUCAUCAUGACCCUUAUGGGGUGGGCUACACACGUGCUACAAUAGUGGUUACAAUGGGUUGUGAAGUCGCGAGGCGGAGCUAAUACCCAAAAGCCAUCUCAUUUUGGAUUGCACUCUGCAACUCGAGUGCACGAAGUAGGAAUCGCUAGUAAUCGCGGGUCAGCAUGCCGCGGUGAAUAUGUUCUCUGGCCUUGUACACACCGCCCGUCACACCAUGGGAGUUGGUUUUGCCUGAGGACGGUGUGCUAACCGCAAGGAGGCAGCCGGCCACGGUAGGGUCAGCGAGUGGGGUGAAGUGGUAACAAGGUAUCCAAUA